UCAUUGGGGAAAGAAGACCCUUUUGAGCUUGACUCCAGUCUGACAUUGUUCGGAGACAUGCCGAGGUGUAGCAUAGGUGGGAGUUGAGGAUCAAUACGGCGGUUUUAAACGAUCGUCGUACCUCGACGUCUUUGAAAUACCACUACUCGCAUCGUUUCCUUACUUACUCGGUGAUGCGGAGCGCGUGUUGUUUGGUCCGUGGCUUUGGCCGAAGUUGUUCAACUUGAUCGGACGACGAGCGCGAUCGUGUUCGUUUUCUGUUCGCCGAUGAGCCCGGAACGGCGAACGGUAAAAACUCUCGUAUACGAUCUUGCGAUAGCUUUCUGCGUUUGUUUCUCAUCAACGGGCCGGUGUUGUAUGUAAUCUCUCGCAUUUAUGCGUGUUGGAUUCGUGCAAUCCGGUUCCGGGGGAACAGACCUUUAAGUUAUACGCUUGUCACUGGUAUCGGGGGUCGUUCGUUCGUGACCGGGGCAAAACUUGUCUCGGACGGAUUUCGUUCGCGUCGUCUUGCAGUCUGUAUCAUUUCGACUUUGCGUCGGGCCCGUCGUGGCCGGCAAUCACGAUCGGUUCCCAGUCGCUUUAAGCGCAAACGCGUCGCCUGCUCGUUCUCCCAGUCUACGGUCGUCUUCGCGCUUUUAAACGUGCAGUCGAUCGCCUGGGAAACCUGGUGUCGUUGCGUGAUCCGAUCCGAGGACACCGUCAGGUAGGGAGUUUAUCUGGGGCGGAAUAUCUGUCAAAGAAUAACGCAGGUGUCCUAAGGCCAGCUCAGCGAGGACGGAAACCUCGCGUAGAGCAAAAGGGCAAAAGCUGGCUUGAUCCCGGACGCCCAGUACGCGUAGGGACUGCGAAAGCAUUGGCCUUUCGAUCCUCUCGUCU
RNAcentral lists this ribosomal RNA (876 nucleotides) under Laurencella sp. CMU-2007. RNAcentral's name for it is "partial 28S ribosomal RNA". It matches the Rfam family "Eukaryotic large subunit ribosomal RNA", at positions 2394 to 2782 of the family's 3401-position model. The record is from RNAcentral. Lineage: Eukaryota; Metazoa; Arthropoda; Insecta; Hemiptera; Monophlebidae.